Molecule: transfer RNA, 85 nt
Organism: Felis catus (domestic cat)
Lineage: Eukaryota; Metazoa; Chordata; Mammalia; Carnivora; Felidae
Rfam family: tRNA
About the family: Transfer RNA (tRNA) molecules are approximately 80 nucleotides in length. Their secondary structure includes four short double-helical elements and three loops (D, anti-codon, and T loops). Further hydrogen bonds mediate the characteristic L-shaped molecular structure. tRNAs have two regions of fundamental functional importance: the anti-codon, which is responsible for specific mRNA codon recognition, and the 3' end, to which the tRNAs corresponding amino acid is attached (by aminoacyl-tRNA synthetases). tRNAs cope with the degeneracy of the genetic code in two manners: having more than one tRNA (with a specific anti-codon) for a particular amino acid; and 'wobble' base-pairing, i.e. permitting non-standard base-pairing at the 3rd anti-codon position.
Source: Rfam
GCCUGGGUGGCUCAGUCGGUGGAGUGUUCGACUUUGGAUCAAGUCAUGAUCUCACAGUUCGUGAGUUCGAGCCCCACGUCAGGCU